GGACACACGGUUAAUAUUCCGUGACUUGGCUAUUGAUUGAUGGAGGGACGAAGUUCAGUAUACGGAGCGUGUUAUUGGAUUCGCGUUCAUGCCGUAAGGGUGCGUUCUAGGAAAAUCCGGAAUGCUGUGUUUAAUCACACACCCAAGCGGAGUGAGAAUUUCUUCCUACGGGUUGGAAAACUUCGUAAAGCGAGCUUCCAAGAAAAUCUUCUACAAUUAUCAAUAGUUGAACCGUACCGCAAACCGACACAGGUGUGCAGGUCGAGUAGACCAAGGCGAACGGGUGAGACCUCCCUAAGGAACUCGGCAAAAAAGCGGCCGUAACUUCGGGAUAAGGCCUUCCCGAACCCCGAGCGCAAGCGAAGGGUGAGGGACGCAGCGAAAGUUUCUCUGGCGACUGUUUAUCAAAAACACAGCUCCCUGCGAACUCGCAAGAGGAUGUAUAGGGGGUGACGCCUGACCAAUGCGAGAAGGUUAAAUACUGACUGUGCGUGGUCCCGCAAUUGCGGGGUUGCGUGCGGAUUGGUAUAAGCCCUCGUCAAUGUCGGCGAUAACUAUAAUCGUCCUAAGGUAGCGCAAUUCCUUGUCGGGUAAGUUCCGACGCGCACGAAAGGCGUAACGACUGGAGAACUGUCUCGGGGAGGUGCCCGGUGAAAAUGCGAUGCCGGUGAAGAUGCCGGCUACCUGCAGUUAGACGAAAAGACCCCGGAAGCUUUACUGUAGCUUGAUAUUGGGCUUAGGUCUUUAAUGCGUAGCGUAGUGGGGAGUCUACGAAGUGCCGCUUUUGGGCGGCAUGGAGACGCCAGUGAAAUACCCAUCUUUAAAGAGCUAAGUUCUAACCCCCGCGGCAAAAACGCGGAGGGACAGUAUCUGGUGGGCAGUUUUGGUGGGGCGCUAUCCUCCUAAAAAGUAACGGAGGAGUUUACAAAGGUCAGCUAAGCGCGGAUGGAAAUCGCGCUCGUCGUGUAAUGGCAUAAGCUGGCUUAACUGCGAGACGGACAUGUCGAGCAGAUGCGAAAGCAGAACAUAGUGAUCCGAUCGUGGGUAUUAGACACCGCGAAAGCUCAACGGCUAAAAGUUACUCCGGGGAUAACAGGCUGGUACCGCCCGAGCGUCCAUAGCGACGGCGGUGUUCGGCACCUCGAUGUCGGCUCGUCCUAUCCUGGGGGUGGAGAAGCUCCCAAGGGUUUGGCUGUUCGCCAAUUAAAAGGGUACGUGAGCUGGGUUCAAACCGUCAAAAAUGAACCUUAAAUAUCGAGUAAAAUCACACGGCGGCUUUCUCGCGUAAGCGAGAUCGAAAAAACCGACUCAUAUCGGUGAAGUCCUAAUAUAUAAUGUAGACAACCUGCCCGCUUCGCCGAAGUUUUCAGCGAGGCGAGUCAUGUGUUAGGAUAAUACCGAGGGAAGUUGAACUACUUAAAAAAGAAUGCUUAAGAAAUUUGAGGCGAUUAAAGUUAUUGCAGCAUUAAUCAUUAUAGUAUUGAUUAUACUUUUAGUUGUAAAAAUUAAAGUAAAUUCAGUCC
This 1523-nucleotide ribosomal RNA is filed under the name Candidatus Ryanbacteria bacterium RIFCSPLOWO2_12_FULL_47_9c. RNAcentral's name for it is "bacterial LSU rRNA". The stretch from base 1 to 1312 matches the Rfam family "Bacterial large subunit ribosomal RNA", at positions 1420 to 2925 of the family's 2925-position model. The record is from RNAcentral. Lineage: Bacteria; Candidatus Ryaniibacteriota.